RNAcentral lists this ribosomal RNA (253 nucleotides) under uncultured bacterium. RNAcentral describes it as "partial 16S ribosomal RNA". It matches the Rfam family "Bacterial small subunit ribosomal RNA", at positions 524 to 776 of the family's 1533-position model. The record is from RNAcentral.
UACGGAGGGUGCAAGCGUUAUCCGGAUUCACUGGGUUUAAAGGGAGCGUAGGUGGGUUGGUAAGUCAGUGGUGAAAUCCCCGAGCUUAACUUGGGAACUGCCAUUGAUACUAUCAGUCUUGAAUACUGUGGAGGUUAGCGGAAUAUGUCAUGUAGCGGUGAAAUGCUUAGAUAUGAUAUAGAACACCAAUUGCGAAGGCAGCUGGCUACACAAUUAUUGACACUGAGGCUCGAAAGCGUGGGGAUCAAACAGG